RNAcentral lists this transfer RNA (68 nucleotides) under Cnemaspis caudanivea. Its description in RNAcentral is "tRNA-Ala". It matches the Rfam family "tRNA". From Rfam's summary of the family: Transfer RNA (tRNA) molecules are approximately 80 nucleotides in length. Their secondary structure includes four short double-helical elements and three loops (D, anti-codon, and T loops). The record is from RNAcentral. Lineage: Eukaryota; Metazoa; Chordata; Lepidosauria; Squamata; Gekkonidae.
GAGGCUUUAGCUUAAUUAAAGCGUCUGAGUUGCAAUUAGAUGAUGUAGGUUGUGGCCUGCAGGUCUUC